CGGCGGACGGGUGAGUAACACGUGGGUAACCUACCUAUAAGACUGGGACAACUUCGGGAAACCGGAGCUAAUACCGGAUAAGAUAUCGAACCGCAUGGUUCGAUAGUGAAAGANGGUUUUGCUAUCACUUAUAGAUGGACCCGCGCCGUAUUAGCUAGUUGGUGAGGUAACGGCUCACCAAGGCAACGAUACGUAGCCGACCUGAGAGGGUGAUCGGCCACACUGGAACUGAGACACGGUCCAGACUCCUACGGGAGGCAGCAGGU
Molecule: ribosomal RNA, 266 nt
Filed under: uncultured Staphylococcus sp.
Lineage: Bacteria; Bacillati; Bacillota; Bacilli; Caryophanales; Staphylococcaceae
Description: partial 16S ribosomal RNA
Rfam family: Bacterial small subunit ribosomal RNA
Source: RNAcentral